Molecule: unclassified non-coding RNA, 250 nt
Filed under: plant metagenome
Description: partial contains small subunit ribosomal RNA, internal transcribed spacer 1, and 5.8S ribosomal RNA
Source: RNAcentral
GUAGGGUACGUUGAACAACCCCCCCCCUAAAAACACUUUGUGACAGUUGCUAACAUUUCUUCUAGUGAACCUGCGGAAGGAUCAUUACCGAGUAAGGGUCUUCCAGGCCCGACCUCCAACCCUUUGUUUAACCAACCACGUUGCUUUGGCGGGCCCGCCCUCUGGGGCCGCUGGGGGCUUUACCGCCCCUGGCCCGUGCCCGCCGGUAGCCAUCUUAAAUUCUGAUAACUGUGCCGUCUGAGUAUAGAUA